GCGCCCGUAGCUCAGCUGGAUAGAGCAUCCGCCUUCUAAGCGGAGGGUCGCAGGUUCGAAUCCUGCCGGGCGCGCCA
RNAcentral lists this transfer RNA (77 nucleotides) under Pseudomonadales bacterium. RNAcentral's name for it is "tRNA-Arg". It matches the Rfam family "tRNA". From Rfam's summary of the family: Transfer RNA (tRNA) molecules are approximately 80 nucleotides in length. RNAcentral also lists the same sequence under 2 other names. The record is from RNAcentral. Lineage: Bacteria; Pseudomonadati; Pseudomonadota; Gammaproteobacteria; Pseudomonadales.